Molecule: ribosomal RNA, 459 nt
Filed under: uncultured bacterium
Lineage: Bacteria
Description: partial 16S ribosomal RNA
Rfam family: Bacterial small subunit ribosomal RNA
Source: RNAcentral
CCUACGUGUGGCAGCAGUGAGGAAUAUUGGUCAAUGGGCGGAAGCCUGAACCAGCCAAGUCGCGUGAGGGAUUAAGGCCCUGCGGGUCGUAAACCUCUUUUGCCGGGGAUAAAGGUGUCCACGUGUGGAUGUUUGCAGGUACCGCAUGAAUAAGGACCGCCUAAUUCCGUGCAAGCAGCCGCGGUAAUACGGAAGGUCCGGGCGUUAUCCGGAUUUAUUGGGUUUAAAGGGCGCGUAGGCCGGUCUUUAAGCGUGCCGUGACAUUUUGUGGCUCAACCAUGAGAGUGCGGCGCGAACUGGAGACGUUGAGUGCGCGGAAGGCAGGCGGAAUUCGUGGUGUAGCGGUGAAAUGCUUAGAUAUCACGAAGAACCCCGAUUGCGAAGGCAGCCUGCCGCAGCGUUACUGACGCUGAAGCUCGAAAGCGCGGGUAUCGAACAGGAUUAGAUACCCCUGUAGUC